AUAUUCAUUAUGAAUAUAUUGUGUACAGAGAGAUGGAGGGCUUGAUGUAGAAAUACAGCAUAGAAUAAAUUGUGGAUUGAUGAACUGGAGAAAAAUGAGUGGUGUUCUUUGUGAUAAGAGAGUGAAUUGUCAAAUGAAGGGAAAAGUGUAUAGAUCAGUUGUGAGGCCAGCUAUGCUGUAUGGA
This is a long non-coding RNA of Nilaparvata lugens (brown planthopper), 184 nucleotides long. RefSeq lists it as uncharacterized. The transcript is spliced from 4 exons. The record is from RefSeq and is a predicted model, not a curated record. Lineage: Eukaryota; Metazoa; Arthropoda; Insecta; Hemiptera; Delphacidae.